GGCUGGGCCAGGCGUGAUGGUGUUGACAGCUGGUUUAUCAGUCCCAGAUUUCUUUGUUCCGUCCCCACUCCCCCUGCUUCACUUGACUAGCCUAAG
Molecule: non-coding RNA, 96 nt
Filed under: Saimiri boliviensis boliviensis (Bolivian squirrel monkey)
Lineage: Eukaryota; Metazoa; Chordata; Mammalia; Primates; Cebidae
Source: RNAcentral